Molecule: unclassified non-coding RNA, 240 nt
Filed under: plant metagenome
Description: partial contains small subunit ribosomal RNA, internal transcribed spacer 1, and 5.8S ribosomal RNA
Source: RNAcentral
UUUCCGUAGGUGAACCUGCGGAAGGAUCAUUACCGAGUGAGGGUCUCUCAGGCCCGACCUCCCACCCUGUGUUUUUGUGACCUUGUUACUUUGGCGGGACCGCCUCGAUGGGAGGCCGCCGGAUGCUCACCGCUUUGGGCCCGUGCCCGUCUGUAGCCCCCUUAAAUACUUAAUAAACCUGUCGUCGGAGUUAAUGGGUAUAAUGAAAAAAAACUUUCAACAACGGAUCUCUUGGUUCUG